CCUACGGGCGGCAGCAGUGGGGAAUAUUGGACAAUGGGGGGAACCCUGAUCCAGCCAUGCCGCGUGUGUGAAGAAGGCCCUCGGGUUGUAAAGCACUUUCAGUGAGGAAGAACGCCUGGUGGUUAAUACCCAUCAGGAAAGACAUCACUCACAGAAGAAGCACCGGCUAACUCCGUGCCAGCAGCCGCGGUAAUACGGAGGGUGCGAGCGUUAAUCGGAAUUACUGGGCGUAAAGCGCGCGUAGGUGGCUUGAUAAGCCGGUUGUGAAAGCCCCGGGCUCAACCUGGGAACGGCAUCCGGAACUGUCAAGCUAGAGUGAAGGAGAGGAAGGUAGAAUUCCCGGUGUAGCGGUGAAAUGCGUAGAGAUCGGGAGGAAUACCAGUGGCGAAGGCGGCCUUCUGGACUGACACUGACACUGAGGUGCGAAAGCGUGGGUAGCAAACAGGAUUAGAUACCCUAGUAGUC
This 465-nucleotide ribosomal RNA is filed under the name Vreelandella stevensii. Its description in RNAcentral is "partial 16S ribosomal RNA". It matches the Rfam family "Bacterial small subunit ribosomal RNA", at positions 338 to 795 of the family's 1533-position model. The record is from RNAcentral. Lineage: Bacteria; Pseudomonadati; Pseudomonadota; Gammaproteobacteria; Oceanospirillales; Halomonadaceae.